This is a long non-coding RNA of Anguilla rostrata (American eel), 1182 nucleotides long. RefSeq lists it as uncharacterized. The transcript has 3 exons. NCBI's taxonomy places the organism in Eukaryota, Metazoa, Chordata, Actinopteri, Anguilliformes, Anguillidae. The record is from RefSeq and is a predicted model, not a curated record.
AAGUCUUGUCAGAAGUGGGAUUCGAACCCACGCCUCCAUUCGGAGACCAGAAUACUCCUUUGACAGGAAGGUUAUUACCCUUGAGUCUGGCGCCUUAGACCACUCGGCCAUCCUGACAUGUUGAUAGCUACUCGGACAUGAUCCCAUGGGAUCGUGAGGACCAAUCGCUAGUCAAACCACAGAGCGUACGACUCAGAAUCAAAUCCUUCACGACCUCAACCUCUCCCGGUCAAAAGAAGGGGGCUUUGACGCUUCCUUAAUUGUUGGCCUGCCAGGUCAUGAAUAUUCCCAGAAAGAGACCACCUUUGGAAUGUUGUUGCAGGACAGGGCAGGAGAGAGCGUGAAGUGCUGCUUUUGUGCUCUAAUUAACCAUCUGUAUCCAAGUAGCUUCCUGGGAUGUUACACAAACCACCACAGAGCAUCAAAAAGCUCUUCAACCGAAUAUUUGGAUAAAUACUUUUCUCAGGCGCAGAACUGCAAUGCCCUACCUUAGAUUUAAACUUACAACCUGAGUUAAAAACCCAGUUUCCAAACCACUAUAUGUACACUAACUUAAUUAUCCACUAUUUUGCACUAGUAUUAUUCUUUCCCAUCAUUUUUUGUGUGCACUACGAAGAUAUAAGAUAUACUUUCUAUUAAAUUGAUCUUAAAUAAUCGUGAUGCUACUUUAAAAAAUACACACUGUGACUGAAAGAACACUUUAUUUGCCUUCUUUAUACAAAGUAGUUACUGAGUUAGCCACCAACAUGAAAUUGCCUCCAUGAAUCUGUUGUCCUGAUCUAAAAUACAAAAAUCUGCUGAAGAAAGUUCCAAAUUGUGCCUGACCAACCAGUUAUGUUGAACAGUGAAAUUAGUGCAGAUAAACACACAGUUCUGGGAAAACCUCUGUGAUUCAAGAAACCUCUCAUGGGCACAAUUACUUUUUAUUUAAGAUCCCUGGGAAACAUACAUAAUAUAAAAAAUAAACCAAUUCUAUAAGAAUGAUCAAAUGUCACUUGGCUCCAAAAUAACAAAAAACUGGAUUUAAGGCAACUAAAAAUUAAAACCACAUAUGGUCUUGUUUGUCCCAUAGUUCUGUAAAUAUGUACACAACAGAAUUUCUGUCUCUUCCCACCAAAUGCUAACUGUAGAACACUAAUCAUCUCAAGCACACUAGCAGCACAAAUUCACUUUAAUAAAACU